GGAUAUGAGGUGAUCUGACUGCGAUAUUUGUCACCCAGUGAUUACUAGGGUUGAUGCCAGAUGAUGCCUUCCCCCCUCAUGGCACCAUGAACAUCCCUUCCAAAGCUGCCUGCCCAGUCAAAAAGGACAAUUUACCCCAAAGAGGAGGACCGGUCUUCAGUCAAGGGGUAUAUAAGUAGCAAUUCUCUCCUGUUAGAACCUCCAAAAAAAGUUCUCAGGAACAGCCAGGGUUACAUAGUAAGUUCCAGGCUAGUCUAGACCACAUAACCCUAGAGGGAG
RNAcentral lists this small nuclear RNA (279 nucleotides) under Mus pahari (shrew mouse). RNAcentral's name for it is "sRNA (MGP_PahariEiJ_G0008027.1)". It matches the Rfam family "7SK RNA". Rfam says of the family: 7SK was discovered as an abundant small nuclear RNA in the mid-70s but a possible function has only recently been suggested. Two independent studies have found that 7SK RNA binds the CDK9/cyclin T complex (known as elongation factor P-TEFb). P-TEFb activates transcription by phosphorylating the C-terminal domain of RNA polymerase II. The record is from RNAcentral. Lineage: Eukaryota; Metazoa; Chordata; Mammalia; Rodentia; Muridae.